AUGUGGUCUAGUGGUCAGGAUUCGUGGUUUUCACCCACGCGGCCCGGGUCCGAUUCCCGGCAU
Strongyloides venezuelensis is the source of this 63-nucleotide transfer RNA. It matches the Rfam family "tRNA", at positions 5 to 66 of the family's 71-position model. From Rfam's summary of the family: Transfer RNA (tRNA) molecules are approximately 80 nucleotides in length. Their secondary structure includes four short double-helical elements and three loops (D, anti-codon, and T loops). The record is from Rfam. Lineage: Eukaryota; Metazoa; Nematoda; Chromadorea; Rhabditida; Strongyloididae.